RNAcentral lists this unclassified non-coding RNA (229 nucleotides) under Hevea brasiliensis (rubber tree). Lineage: Eukaryota; Viridiplantae; Streptophyta; Magnoliopsida; Malpighiales; Euphorbiaceae. The record is from RNAcentral.
CACCCACUGCAUCCAUCCUAUUGUAUGCACAGCCAUCAUAACCUACAGAAGCUACACCCUUUUCUGUUUCCAAAUGCUCAAUAGUCUCAACAUCCGUUUGAUAGUUAAUAGAAUGCUUUAUCUGCCAUCUGCCUGAAGACACCUUUUCAAGAGCACUUGCAUGAGCUAACCUUGAAACGCCACUCGCUUCUGACCAGGCAGAUUGCACUGGCUCAUUAACACCUACUAC